This 340-nucleotide ribosomal RNA is filed under the name uncultured bacterium. RNAcentral describes it as "bacterial SSU rRNA". It matches the Rfam family "Bacterial small subunit ribosomal RNA", at positions 330 to 662 of the family's 1533-position model. The record is from RNAcentral.
AAAACAAUCCUACGGGAGGCAGCAGUGGGGAAUUUUGGACAAUGGGCGCAAGCCUGAUCCAGCCAUGCCGCGUGCAGGAUGAAGGCCUUCGGGUUGUAAACUGCUUUUGUACGGAACGAAACGGCCUUUUCUAAUAAAGAGGGCUAAUGACGGUACCGUAAGAAUAAGCACCGGCUAACUACGUGCCAGCAGCCGCGGUAAUACGUAGGGUGCAAGCGUUAAUCGGAAUUACUGGGCGUAAAGCGUGCGCAGGCGGUUAUGUAAGACAGUUGUGAAAUCCCCGGGCUCAACCUGGGAACUGCAUCUGUGACUGCAUAGCUAGAGUACGGUAGAGGGGGAU